Molecule: long non-coding RNA, 1346 nt
Filed under: Homo sapiens (human)
Lineage: Eukaryota; Metazoa; Chordata; Mammalia; Primates; Hominidae
Description: PREDICTED lncRNA (TCONS_00003708)
Source: RNAcentral
UGCUCGAGAUCUGCAGUGGCUGCCGGGUGCGGAGCGCCGGCCGGGGGUGGGCUCUCCAGGGCUGCUAGGCCCCUGCCCUCACCUGCGGCCGCCCGGCCCCGCCCUAGUCAAUGGAUCAUGAAGAUGGAGGUGGUGGCUCAUGCCUGUUAAUCCCCACACUAUGAGAGGCUGAGGCAGGAGGAUCACUUGGGGCCAGUAGUUUGAGACCAGCCUGGGCAACAUGGCAAGACUCCAUCUCUACAAAAAAAUGCAAAAAGAAAUCAGUGGACCAUGAUGAGCUUAUCAUGGAACAUAAGAAAAAUAAAACAGAUGUCAGCCUGUGUAUGAAGAAUUCAUCCACAAGAUUUGCUCACUCUUCAAUUCUUUCCCGAGCAAAACCAAGAAUCUUCUUGGGCUAAGCCCCAAUUUGGGGUUCACCUGCCUUGCAGCAACAUGGCACCAAACAUGCGGCAGAAGAGAGAAAACGACAGCAUGAGAGACGGAGAAAGAAAUGGCCAGUUGGCAAGGUGGUAAUGAGAGACAGCAGUUGGCAAGACAGUGAGAGACAGCAAGAGAUGGUGGUACAGCCAAGCAGACAGGCAAGUAAGUGGCCAUACUGCUACUGCCUCAUGUAGGAUCCGGCAGGCUGGUGGGUUAUCAGUCCUCACGUGGGACCCUCCCACCAUGGCAGCUGAGCACAUCCAAGCUGGGGGAUCCUGAAGAGACCUUCACCUGGGUGCCACGUGGAAGAUUGGCCAGCACCAUUUUGACUCCUGUGGAUGGUUCCAGGUAAAGACAAUCCUUGCACAAGGCUUCCAACUCGACCCGCCUACUGACCUGGAGAAUGAAAGUGUCCUGCCUCGGGGCCCCUCAGAUCAGCACCCAAACUGCACCUGGUCACCUGUCUACAUUCAGAUUUAGAUGAAAGCCACACCAUGGAGGCAGCCAGAGGCCCAUGGGAGAUGUCUGGAUUCGCAGAGGAAUAGCUCCAUGUGAUGCAAACCUUGACUAAUGGGAACAGGAAAAGGGAGGAAACCAGGAAGAUAAAUCUCCCUCCCUUCUCAUUGCUCCUUGCAACCCUUCCCACUUGAAGCAUGACCACAUUUAAUGAACAACCUGCUGUGUCUCUUGGAAGCUUGCUGCAAGGCAGCAAUCAGCACAAUAACAUUGUAUUGUAUCUUCCUCUGCUUCACUUCUCUUCCUCCCUCACCCUCACUGCCCUGAGCUGGCACAUCCCAAAGAAAGCAUUACCACAUUAAUCCUUGUCUCAGACUCUGCUUUCAAGAGGAUCUAGAAUCUUGCUCUGUUGCCCUGGCUAGAGUGCAGUGAUGUAAUAAUAGCUCACUGAAACCUCGAACUCCUGGGCU